This is a long non-coding RNA of Carassius gibelio (silver crucian carp), 1934 nucleotides long. RefSeq lists it as uncharacterized. The transcript has 4 exons. NCBI's taxonomy places the organism in Eukaryota, Metazoa, Chordata, Actinopteri, Cypriniformes, Cyprinidae. The record is from RefSeq and is a predicted model, not a curated record.
CCUCUUGCAUCACCCUGUUGGUUCAUAGAUAAGUAUGAUUCAGCUCAGUCUAUUCAGUGCACUGUAUUCUUUCUUUUUUUAUCAUGCCUGGUUUCUGGAUUGACUAGAAGAAUUAUAUCAUAUAGGCAUACUACCAUUUGGAAGCUUUGGGGUCGACACUCCUGCUCACUCAUUCUUUAAUAAAACAUUUUUUUGCAUUUUAGACAAUCUCAAGAAUGAUACAAAUUGUUCUGCAGAAGAAAGUAAGUCAUACAGAUUUGGAACAAAAUGAAGACUCGGUGCAGCUGUGGACCUCUUCACCUCAGCCUGGUACUCGAGGUCUGCACCCCUGCAUGACGAACAAUGGAGGUAUUAGAAGGCCCUGUUAAGCUGCAGCCCUCUUCAAACAGGCAGCCAGCAUGGUACCAGAUCCAAGCCCUCAGCAGCUGUGCUAACCCCCAUUCACUUCACUGACACAAAUCCCCGUUCUCCAUCCCAAAGACUGCUUAAUGCAGGGCUCUCUCAAGUGAAAAGAGUGUUUCUUAUGUCUUUAUUAUCUCAGAAAAAGGACACACAGAUUCUUUUUGUGCCAGUACACUUUCAUUUGCCAUAGGCAAGCAAUCUCUCUCUCUCUCUCUCUUUUUUUUUUUUUUUUUUUUUUUUUUGAAAAGGGUAGAGAAAGGGGGUUUUAUAACAAGCCUGUAGCAGAGUGAGCAGGUCUCACAACCUGAAACUUCUUAUGUUUCACUGCCUCUUUUCCUGGUAUCUGACGCUGGGCUGCCCAGUCUCCAUGGUAAUUAGACUGAAAAUCCUCCAGUACCGGGCCCCUGCAUAAAACUCUCUUUGAUGGUGAACCUGAUUUCCUCAACAUGUUUUUUUUUGUUUUGUUUUUUUUGGCUAAGUUGGCUUAUGCCCACAUCGGUCAUUGGAUUUUGACCUAACGUACCAACACACUUGUGACACUAUGCCCUGUGCUGGUGCACAGAAACCAAUUGGAUAUGCCCUUAUAAAUCAUCACCCACAUCCUUCUGAGGAGAGUGGAAAAAUAAAAUAGCAGGCAGGCCUGUAGCCCUGGGAGGGAGGAGGCACAACUGGAAUGCAUUCUGCCGAAGAACAGGGGAUAUUAAAUACAUAGCAGCAGCUGGAAGUGUUCAGAUACUCAGAAGAAAUGUUGCAGUGGAUUGGUAGAAGCUAUAACAGAUAAUGACUGCAUUACAUUGAUCUUAAUCAAUAUUAUUAUGCGGAAUCCCUGAUAUAUAGAUCACAUGCACUGUAAACCCAGACAAAAAUACACUUUCAGAUAUAGUUUUUAAAAAGUGUUUAUCGAUUUGAUACAUUUCUCCAAACUCAGGUCACUGUUCUCAAAACAGUUAACACAGUGAUCUGAAUAGUUAAUGUAAUUUUCUAAAAAUAUGUUUUUUUAAUUAUUAAAAUGAUAAUUUUUUUAAGUAUUUGAAUGUACGGUGGUUUCCGGCUCCUUCUUCCCACACAACAAACUUUGUUAGAUUGUCUUUAAUAAUAAAAUAAACAAACAAAAAAUGAAAGUAAAGUGGCAGCACCUCUCGUACGACUGCCACAGACAAAACACAAAAUAAAAUCCAGGCCUGGUCCUCUUUCGUCUUUCAGAGUCGUUUACUCCUCCUUUUAUCCUUCCGGAGCUCCUCUGUGGGACUCAAGACCGGUGAGAGGUGCAGGUGUCACUCAUUAUUAAUUACUCCACCGGCCUCGCUGCGUUCCCAGAGCCCAAAUUAAUAUUUACUUUUAAUAAAUGCUUUAAAUAAAAACACAUUUUUCCUCAUAUUCUCAGAAUAAAUGUAUUGUAUUUAUAUAGCCCAAUUAUAUUGUUUAGCUAAAAAUAUGAUACUGUAUAUACUGUAUUAAAUAUAUAAAAUAAAUAACAUGUAUUUUCAAAAUUUUAAAUAAAAUGAAAAAAAUUGCCUUAUGCCUUUAUAUUG